Molecule: microRNA precursor, 97 nt
Filed under: Equus caballus (horse)
Lineage: Eukaryota; Metazoa; Chordata; Mammalia; Perissodactyla; Equidae
Description: mir-9058 microRNA precursor family
Rfam family: mir-9058 microRNA precursor family
Source: Rfam by way of RNAcentral
GUGGCUGGCGGCUGGGUGCCUUCUACUGGUGCUGUGCAGAGGCUUUCCCUAAGGCUGCUGUGAGCCUGUAGGGUUUCCGCCUAGGCUACGAAGCUGG